GAUGAACGCUAGCUACAGGCUUAACACAUGCAAGUCGAGGGGAAACGACAUCGAAAGCUUGCUUUUGAUGGGCGUCGUACGGCGCACGGGUGAGUAACGCGUAUCCAACCUGCCCACCACUUGGGGAUAACUUUGCGCAAGUAAGACUAAUACCCAAUGACGUCUCUAGAAGACAUCUGAAAGAGAUUAAAGAUUUAUCGGUGAUGGAUGGGGAUGCGUCUGAGUAGCUUGUUGGCGGGGUAACGGCCCACCAAGGCGACGAUCAAUAGGGGUUCUGAGAGGAAGGUCCCCCACAUUGGAACUGAGACACGGUCCAAACUCCUACGGGAGGCAGCAGUGAGGAAUAUUGGUCAAUGGACGAGAGUCUGAACCAGCCAAGUAGCGUGCAGGAUGACGGCCCUAUGGGUUGUAAACUGCUUUUAUAAGGGAAUAAAGUGAGAGUCGCGACUCUUUUUGCAUGUACCUUAUGAAUAAGGACCGGCUAAUUCCGUGCCAGCCGCCGCUGUAA
RNAcentral lists this ribosomal RNA (508 nucleotides) under uncultured bacterium. RNAcentral describes it as "partial 16S ribosomal RNA". It matches the Rfam family "Bacterial small subunit ribosomal RNA", at positions 28 to 523 of the family's 1533-position model. The record is from RNAcentral.